UACGGAGGAUCCAAGCGUUAUCCGGAAUCAUUGGGUUUAAAGGGUCCGUAGGCGGAUAAAUAAGUCAGUGGUGAAAGUCUGCAGCUCAACUGUAGAAUUGCCAUUGAUACUGUUUAUCUUGAGUUAUUAUGAAGUGGUUAGAAUGAGUAGUGUAGCGGUGAAAUGCAUAGAUAUUACUCAGAAUACCGAUUGCGAAGGCAGAUCACUAAUAAUCGACUGACGCUGAUGGACGAAAGCGUAGGUAGCGAACAGG
This 253-nucleotide ribosomal RNA is filed under the name uncultured bacterium. Its description in RNAcentral is "partial 16S ribosomal RNA". It matches the Rfam family "Bacterial small subunit ribosomal RNA", at positions 524 to 776 of the family's 1533-position model. The record is from RNAcentral.